Molecule: ribosomal RNA, 488 nt
Filed under: uncultured bacterium
Lineage: Bacteria
Description: partial 16S ribosomal RNA
Rfam family: Bacterial small subunit ribosomal RNA
Source: RNAcentral
AUUGAACGCUGGCGGCAUGCUUUACACAUGCCAGUCGAACGGCAGCACAGGGAGCUUGCUCCUGGGUGGCGAGUGGCGAACGGGUGAGUAAUGUAUCGGAACGUGCCUGGUAGUGGGGGAUAACUACUCGAAAGAGUGGCUAAUACCGCAUGAGAUCUUUGGAUGAAAGCGGGGGACCUUCGGGCCUCGUGCUACUGGAGCGGCCGAUAUCAGAUUAGGUUGUUGGUGGGGUAAAGGCCUACCAAGCCUGCGAUCUGUAGCUGGUCUGAGAGGACGACCAGCCACACUGGGACUGAGACACGGCCCAGACUCCUACGGGAGGCAGCAGUGGGGAAUGUUGGACAAUGGGCGCAAGCCUGAUCCAGCAAUGCCGCGUGCAGGACGAAGGCCUUCGGGUUGUAAACUGCUUUUGUACAGAACGAAAAGUCUCUGGCUAAUAUCUAGAGAUCAUGACGGUACUGUAAGAAUAAGCACCGGCUAACUACGUG